AGGAUGAACGCUGGCGGCGUGCCUAACACAUGCAAGUCGAACGUCCUGUCUCGCAAGAGGCAGGGAGUGGCGGACGGGUGAGUACCACGUGGGUCAUCUACCGUGAGGUGAGGAAUACCGGCGAGAAAUCGCCGACAAGACCGCAUAGGCUCGAUGCAAGUCGAGCAAAGCUCUUUCGAGAGAGGGAGCGCCACACGAGGAGCCUGCGCCCGAUUAGCUAGCUGGUGGAGUAACGGUUCACCAGGGCGACGAUCGGUAGCUGGUCUGAGAGGACGAUCAGCCACACUGGGAUUGAGAACGGCCCAGACUCCUACGGGGGCAGCAGUGAGGAAUUUUCGUCAAUGGGGGCAACCCUGAACGAGCAACGCCGCGUGCAGGAAGAAGGUUUUCGGAUCGUAAACUGCUUUUCUCGGGGAAGAGAAUGGACGGUACCCGAGGAAUCAGCCCCGGCUAACUACGUGCCAGCAGCCGC
This 472-nucleotide ribosomal RNA is filed under the name uncultured bacterium. RNAcentral describes it as "SSU rRNA". It matches the Rfam family "Bacterial small subunit ribosomal RNA", at positions 26 to 518 of the family's 1533-position model. The record is from RNAcentral.